UACGUAGGGGGCAAGCGUUGUCCGGAUUUAUUGGGCGUAAAGAGCGUGUAGGCGGCUUUACAGGUCCGUUGUGAAAACUCGAGGCUCAACCUCGAGACGCCGGUGGAAACCGUAAAGCUAGAGUCCGGAAGAGGAGAGUGGAAUUCCUGGUGUAGCGGUGAAAUGCGCAGAUAUCAGGAGGAACACCAAUAGCGAAGGCAGCUCGCUGGGACGGUAUUGACGCUGAGGCGCGAAAGCGUGGGGAGCAAACAGG
This 253-nucleotide ribosomal RNA is filed under the name uncultured bacterium. RNAcentral describes it as "partial 16S ribosomal RNA". It matches the Rfam family "Bacterial small subunit ribosomal RNA", at positions 524 to 776 of the family's 1533-position model. The record is from RNAcentral.